GCCUAAUACAUGCAAGUCGAGCGAACAGACGAGGAGCUUGCUCCUCUGACGUUAGCGGCGGACGGGUGAGUAACACGUGGAUAACCUACCUAUCAGACUGGGAUAACUUCGGGAAACCGGAGCUAAUACCGGAUAAUAUAUUGAACCGCAUGGUUCAAUAGUGAAAGACGGUUUUGCUGUCACUUAUAGAUGGAUCCGCGCCGCAUUAGCUAGUUGGUAAGGUAACGGCUUACCAAGGCGACGAUGCGUAGCCGAACUGAGAGGGUGAUCGGCCACACUGGAACUGAGACACGGUCCAGACUCCUACGGGAGGCAGCAGUAGGGAAUCUUCCGCAAUGGGCGAAAGCCUGACGGAGCAACGCCGCGUGAGUGAUGAAGGUCUUCGGAUCGUAAAACUCUGUUAUUAGGGAAGAACAAAUGUGUAAGUAACUAUGCACGUCUUGACGGUACCUAAUCAGAAAGCCACGGCUAACUACGUGCCAGCAGCCGCGGUAAUACGUAGGUGGCAAGCGUUAUCCGGAAUUAUUGGGCGUAAAGCGCGCGUAGGCGGUUUUUUAAGUCUGAUGUGAAAGCCCACGGCUCAACCGUGGAGGGUCAUUGGAAACUGGAAAACUUGAGUGCAGAAGAGGAAAGUGGAAUUCCAUGUGUAGCGGUGAAAUGCGCAGAGAUAUGGAGGAACACCAGUGGCGAAGGCGACUUUCUGGUCUGUAACUGACGCUGAUGUGCGAAAGCGUGGGGAUCAAACAGGAUUAGAUACCCUGGUAGUCCACGCCGUAAACGAUGAGUGCUAAGUGUUAGGGGGUUUCCGCCCCUUAGUGCUGCAGCUA
RNAcentral lists this ribosomal RNA (827 nucleotides) under uncultured Staphylococcus sp. RNAcentral's name for it is "bacterial SSU rRNA". It matches the Rfam family "Bacterial small subunit ribosomal RNA", at positions 46 to 854 of the family's 1533-position model. Lineage: Bacteria; Bacillati; Bacillota; Bacilli; Caryophanales; Staphylococcaceae. The record is from RNAcentral.